GUAUAAGUGAGUGCACAUAUACUAAAAUUGUAACGAUGCAGAGAAGAUUAGCAUGGCCCCUGCACAAGGAUGACAUGCAAAUUUGUGAAGUGUUCCAUAUUUCU
Molecule: small nuclear RNA, 104 nt
Filed under: Colius striatus (speckled mousebird)
Lineage: Eukaryota; Metazoa; Chordata; Aves; Coliiformes; Coliidae
Source: RNAcentral